CUGCCUACGGGGCGCAGCAGUAGGGAAUUUUCGGCAAUGGGCGAAAGCCUGACCGAGCAACGCCGCGUGAACGAAGAAGGUCUUCGGAUUGGAAAGUUCUGUUAUAGAGGAAGAAUGGUGUACGAAGGAAAUGGCGUACAAAUGACGGUACUCUGUGAGGAAGCCACGGCUAACUACGUGCGAGCAGCGGCGGGAAUACGUAGGUGUCGAGCGUUAUCCGGAAUCAUUGGGCGUAACGAGGGAGCA
RNAcentral lists this ribosomal RNA (246 nucleotides) under uncultured bacterium. Its description in RNAcentral is "partial 16S ribosomal RNA". It matches the Rfam family "Bacterial small subunit ribosomal RNA", at positions 335 to 573 of the family's 1533-position model. The record is from RNAcentral.